Molecule: long non-coding RNA, 15083 nt
Organism: Haplochromis burtoni (Burton's mouthbrooder)
Lineage: Eukaryota; Metazoa; Chordata; Actinopteri; Cichliformes; Cichlidae
Exons: 2
Source: RefSeq, a predicted model, not a curated record
UAAAUGGGUGACAAAUGGACAACCAAUGACUGCAACUCGGGAAUACACGUUUUGAAUAGAAGCGAGUCAAUUUGCACAUUGUUUUUGUAUAGUUUUUCCUAUAGUAGCUACUUUUUAGAAUCUUUUGAUCACUCCAUUCAUUUUUGUGCGACGGAAAUGAAAGCGUUAGUCUUCUGGGUUACAUUUUCCUUUUCAUAGAUACAAGUAAUCGCUUUACAUUAUUUUUUCUUUUGAAAAAACAAAAAAAUAUGGUGUGGUCCCUUAAGCCUUUGAGGGUUUUUGUCUUUUGUUUCUGUUUGUUGUUUGUUUUUUGCCCUGGAUCCGUCGAUGGUCUAAAAAACUGCAUGUUUGUAUGACAUAAUCCGCGCAUGACUUUACUCGGCCUAGCUGUUCUGUGUGGUCACUUUGUGAUGGGUGGGUACUUGUCCGGGGGUAUACUGCAGUGAUGCCGCUCCCCCUCCUGCUGUCCCCGGCCCUGCCUCUGGGACGCUGGGUGCAGUCCUGGCCCCCUGCCCGUUGCCUUCUCUCCAACCAACAGAAUUUAUUGUUACAAAUUAAUAUCGACGCGCAGCAUUGUGUUGAUUGAACAAAGAUCACGGCAUUGUAGUGGGAAAACUAAUUUGCCAGUGGCAUCGCCCUUUUAACAGUUUAUCGCGUUUUUUAUGGCCCGGCCCUAAUUAAAACUAUUAGGCUAGUAUUGGAAUUACAAUCAAAUGGCAACAUGAAAGCUUCUUGGGGACAUAAAAGCUAUUUCAUUUAUUUGAUCUAGUGGCAAGGACAUGAUCAAUGUCCACAUUCAGUCAUAGGACUCGGCUUUUAGAGGUAGUAGUGGUAGCCACGGCGGUGUGAUUUUCAUGUUUAUGGCUAAACCGGCUUCAUAUUUAGACAGAGCUUAUAGGGUGUUAAAAUAGUGUGAAUUCAGUCUAACACGAACAGUGCUCACAUUGUGCAAGAGCCGUAUGCAGGGCAUAGAAUCUAGACUUCGCUUAAUCCACCCUCAGCAAAGCUGACAUAAUGAUCCUAAGCCGCCUUUCUACAAAAUCAUUCAGGAAUUCAAAACGUUCCCUUUCCUCUCUCCGAGUUACACAUUCUCCCGGCUGACCAACGACUUCAAGCUUGGAGGGACAGUGAGUACCUCAAUGUGCAUGUAUAGUCAGUGCUGCCUGUUUAUGUCCACCACAAACCUUACUUGACGCGCUUAAACAACGUGAUUGCCGCCGAGCAAUUAGCCAACACUGGCGCACUAAAACGCGUUUUAGGUAAAGCAGUGCUUUAACUCGUGCGAACAUGUGCGUGCAGGAGUGGGCUGCGAGUGUCUGUGUCUGGAGGUGUAUGUGAUGCAGAGUGGGCGUUGUGAUGAUCUUGCAGCAGGGUCAGGCGUUUGGUUCGUGUGUUGCUUCUGGAGUUUGCGCGCGUGUUUGUGCGUGUGGGGGCAGGGUAGAGUAUGGGAUCAAACCUGCCCACUGCUGUCCUAUACGAACCUCAGGAGGACUAAUUCCAAGUGGCACUUGAAUUGGUCCCGUUGGAAAGCUCUGUGGACUGGAAGUAAAGGCUGGUAUUUUCAUGCUGGUGUUAAAACUAACCUCCUAGCCUAUACCCCCUCCUCUUUCUCUUUCUUUCUCACACACAUAUACACACAUGCAUGACCCCAACAUGAAGUUGAGAGUGCGGGCUUAGCAGCAUUUCUCCAAAUAUGCAAAGCCUCCUACCUGACCGGGUUCCUGGUGUACCAAUUUAGCUGAUCACCAUUCAACCCAAGGCUGCAGGUAUUAUGUAGCAUUAUGUUUUGGAGGAGCCUUGUUUGGGAGUAGCCCUCGCAGGCAAUUCGGAAAUCACUCUUAGAAAAGACUAGAGGUGAAAUGUAAAACCUGAAUGGGGAUUGAAGGAGAAAAGCCACUGGUAAUUCACAUUCUUUUACAUGGCUUUUGUUUACGUUAAGCAUGUAAUUAACACCUCCCAAACAAGUUUAUUCACCUGCCGUAAUUGUGUGUUUAUCCGAGAGCUUGCUGAAUGUUCCUAGCAGCGGGGGACGAGAGCUCUGAAUGCACAUUGAGCAUUUAGCGUCUUCUCCGUUUACUUACAGCCUAAACCUCCAAACAAGACAACACAAACAGCAUUUUGCAUGCUAAAAACUGGAAAUAUGCUGGUCAAGCAGGAACAGGCGUCCGUGUCUGUUAAGCAGCCGGAUCUCGCUUCCCAUUCCUUUUGGCAGAGCGUUAAAUGGAAUGUCAAACUUUGUGUAGAAAAGUUUUGUAUAAAUAAAACAAGUUACUACUGUGUUUUUUUAAGUUCUUAAUAUAAUAGGGUAAUACUGUUCAUUGAACACGAUAUGUUAGUCUUAUCGGAACAUAUUGCGUCUAAAAGUGCUCGUUAAUCUCCAUUAAGUAGUUAUUUUUCUUUUUCUGUCUGUUCCAAUAAGGGGAGCAAAUAAACAAAGCUGAUGUUACGUCACGUUUGGGAGUGAGAGAGGGAGAAGGGGACCGGAUGAGAGAAAGAAAGAAAAGGUGUUGACUGUAAAAGGUAAGAGGGAAAGAGAAGGCACGAAAGAAAGGGUCUUGUUUUAUUUUUUGCUCCCUCGUUGACCCCGGUUUGGCAGAAGCUUCCCAGAAAAGGCAGCACACCCCUCCUGGCAAACACAGGAGAGGCACAUGUGCCUACUGCUCCAUCCUGGAUUCAUCUCAACAUUACACAGACACAUUGGAGAAAUGACUGGGCUGUAAGCUGGCUCCAGUCAACGAGCGGUCACCAUUUGAGCUUGGAAGCUGUCGUUGGAGAUGGCACCGCUUCACGGUUAUUUCACUGGUCAGUUUGUCCAAAAGUAGGAUGGAAAUCGAGCUGCAACGUCUGUAAGUUCCGUCUGCGACGUUGUCGAGUCAUUAUUUUUGCGUACAAUUCAUUUAUUUAAACAAAAAUAUGGAAUUAAGCAUAAAAAAAACUUAACAGACCUUGAUAUGAGGCUAAUCUAUCCUUUAGAUCAGAAAAGUUACAUUUGGUGUUAUCUGACUUUUCUCUCACCGAGAAUCGGGGAGAUCUGUCUUUGCAGAGCAGAUGUGUGAUGCUGUCGGGACGGGCGCACAAUCGCCUCCAUCCCUUUGCUGGCUAGUCCAGGGUACGGAGUCGCUGCUUUCUCCCCACACUGUAAAAAGUAUCAGUCUAAAGGUGGCAUUUAAUGUAGCACUAAGUUUUAAAAAUACGGGGUUAUUUUGGGGAAAAUGAAUGGCUCUAUCAUACAUUUGGGAGAAGGAUGUAGAAGGAGACAUCUCAAUCUGAUAUAACUUUGUCUGCCUCUGUUUAAAGUUUCUCGUGAAAAUUUUAAGUUAGUACAAGAAAUGCAGAACUCCGCUUUCUUUAGAAAUAUUAUACCGCUUUCUUUAAAAAAAAUGCUAUGCAUAAAAUUUGUGCCACUGGAAUAUAUCUUCUUUUUUUUUUUUUACCGCAUAUGAGGAAAUUUUUACGAAAUGAAAACAAAUUGGAUAUUUUUUGCAGUGCAAAAAUACGAUUAAAGCAUAUAGUCAGCAGCUUUAACAACUGCAUUCUAUUUUUUAAAAGCAUUAAAAAUAUACAUUAGACCUGCAUAUGUGACGCUGUUACGAUUUGGUUCAUUCCAUAGUGAACUCAAGCGCCAAAACAAUUAAGUCGGUUGCAAUAUCUUAAAACAGCCACUCAAUAACAACUUGUGAUCACGUAAGCAAUAGGCAAAACCUCUGUUUACGUUUGCAGAUACAUGCACGACGCACAAUAGUGUCUAAAUUUAAACUUAAAGAAACAGAAAAACGCCAUGAUUGAAUUUAAAACAUUUUUUCACAGCAAAUGUGACUGAUCUGUAAACGUGGCUCCAACUUUAAUAGUAAAGCUUUUACAAAAGUUUUAACAUCUCUCUCUCUCUCUCUCUCUCUCCCUCCUUUCUUUUAUUGUUUUUAUUGUGUGGUCUCAUUAGGGGGACUUCCUGGCAGGGCUGGGAGCUUGUAUCGGAGCUGUCCAAUCAGUGUAUUUACACGGGUUGUUAGCGACAGUUAAUGAGGGCUCCUCCCCGGGCCGGUAGAGAAAGGCGCCUCAACAUUAAGAUUUACCUUGUGUCAACUCGUUACUUCUAAUGAACCUCCAUGCAAAAGCCUCCUCGUUCUCAAUGGAGCCGUGCGCCCGGAUCUUGUGUGUGAGACCCUGGAAGAGUGGAGCUGCAAGCCGGCCUCCCUCUCCCCCACCUCCUUUUCUUCCGCUCACUCAGGGAGUGUUGCUUUUUCUCUGCAGGCCCGGUUCUAUGAUGCAUGCAUGCAGUGUGUAUGUGUACAUGUUUGUGUGUGGGUACGUCUCCUCUUCAUGGAAUAUGGCGUUAGGAAUCCAAAUGUUUUCAUUAUAUAUUUAAAUUUGUGCAAAAGGGCUUUUCUCCAUGUAGAUUAACACAUAUUGGACUACAACGUAAAAUUAUACGUAGGCUAUAUAUUUACUUAAAAUGUGUUUAAUCGAUAAAGAAAAAAAACAGUCAUUAGAAGUGUGUUCUGAGACAAGACAUAGGCGUAAGAGGGUGUUUGUGUUUGCGUGCAGGUAUUACAAACCAUAUGUCUUCUAUUGUUUGGUGAAUGAGGCUUGACAUGUCAGCUUAUUGCCCCUGCAGAAGUAAGUUCAUUUAUAAUCACCCUCCAUCCCCACGAGAGCACCGAGGACAGAUCGGGCUCUGGCCCCUCUGUCCACCCCUCGUCUGGCCCCUAGUGAGGCUUGUUGAGCCGCAUCAGCAACACAUCACUGCCCCUCAAUUCAGGUACAAACUAGAGGAGUUUGGCAGCUCCCUGAAGUGGACUCCCCUCUUGCUCUUCUAGACCACAGAGACACCACUUAAAAAUCAAUUAGACUCGUCUAGUCUCUCCCUCAUCGCCAGUCAUUAUUAAAAAAAAGAGAGAGAGAAAGAAGGAAAAAAACAGGUGGGAACACCAAAUUUUAGGAAGGACUAAAACCAAAAUCCAACUUUUGAUUCUUCGUUUGCGAAGGAAAAUUUGCAUUUGUACCCUCUAGCUUUGAGAAGUGGUUAUCUGACAGACUGUAAGAUAAAAUAAACAGAAAAGUAAAGUCAAAUAUGUUUGCACACGAUAAUGUACACUUUGUUUUGCCAAAUCUACAUCCACCAGCAGCCAGCAGGUGAUAAAGUGGCCCAAACUAUAUUCUCACGGUUGUUGGCACUUUAUCACCUGCUGGUAAAAGUGACAGAAAACAGUUUGAUUUCCAUAUCUGUUAUAAAGGGAAAAGAAGGUUUUUAAGUAAUGUCAUUACUUACACAAUCCCUUUCUUCAUACCGUCAACAACGUAUUUAAUGCGCAUUUUCUCUUGGCGCCCUUUCCAGCAGCGGUUUAACCGCUCAGGCGCCUGGUCCUCCGUGUUACAGAUGUGCAGCAAUAUGACACAGCGCUGGAGGAGGCCUCGUGUUCACUCUUCCAGGUGGAUAGGCUGAUUUGGAGACAGAGAAACAGAGAAAUAAAUAUAAUGGCUGCAUAUCGAAUGCAUUGCCCCAAGCGCUACAUAUGAUGCUCACCUUGCCUUAUACGUUUUCCUAUUUUAUUUUUUAAACAGCUGAACAAUUUUUUAAAGCAAAGCAACCCCCUACUCUCACAGCACUCUUAUCUCCCAGCACCUAACCCCUGAAGAAUCUUCAUUAAUCUGCAUGUGUAGAUCUCAAAUUGUCCUGUAUAGAACUAACAGUAUAACCAGAUUGGUACUUUAAAAAAUAUGUACAGAAUUACAUAAAAAAAAAUCUGACUGUUUUGGAUUUGCCUGUCUAGGCUGAUUAAGCGCUCAGUCUCUGAGAUGCAGAUAGGAGUUGCGGAGAUGGCCCUUUAGCCCGGUGUCACAGGAGCUGACAAGCUGUAAUUACUGUGGCUGACAGGUCGCUCUCAAAGCUUACUAAUGUGAGAGAUGUGGAUACCACAGACAGCAUGCACACAGUCGAGGCUACUCAACACUUUGGCCACGUAGUGCCUUUUUAACCCCUGUUUAGAUGCUGCUGGGCUGGCCACAUGCUCCGCAGAUGACCUUUUCCAUUUUAACAUUUCAGUAAUGAAAUAGCCACUUAUUUGCGAGCUAGUGAUAUGGCAGUAGAGAUGUGAAUGAGAAAAAAAUACACAUAAGACGGGUGAAAAGUUUUUUAACUUUCAUGCAGUUAUUUUGUUUUCAGUUACGUUACAUUGAUUUGACAACUAUAGCUAUGUAACACUCCUAAAGAAGAAUAUGUUACACCCAAAUACAUGAUCAUUUGAAGAUAUUAUGUAAUGAUGCAGCUUUCACCUCCAGCCCCCAGUUAAUUUUUCAUUGACGUAAUACAGGUAAACUCAGUACAUCCAUAACAGAAAGUUUAAAUACUCACAUACUGAACACGUGGUACUGUUGCUUUAAUACUUUCAUUUUGUGCUGUUUUUUUUUUUAAUUAAUCCUUCAUUUUAGUGGGAAGUCAUGCAUGUUUUAUGUUUUUAUGUUUUACUUCCACAGCAGUUAUACAGCAAUAAAAUCCCAGUACAUCAGCGAAAGGUGUAAUCUAAAUAACUGCAGUAUUACUUUUGAUAGUGGAAAAAUUGUGCUAACACUUCUUUUCCACUUUUACAGAAUAAAACUGUAACCACAAGAUUUUUUUACUCAGUGAAGUACAUUUACAUUGUGGCUGCUUGGGAGCCUGGUUAGGGUUCUUUAUCUUUUUUAUAAGACAAGCUUUAUAAAUACAGACAGGUGACAUAUUAAAGGAAAAACAUGAACUUUUGACCCUUCCGUGAGGGGACUGGCAGCUCUGGUAUGCUGUGGGGUGCGCUUUACUGGCACAAUCUGGUUCCACUUGUCCCUUUAGAGGGAACAUUUGCAGUAUAUUAAUACAGAGUUGUUUUGAGUGAACACUUUUAGCUUUACGACACAGUUCUGUCUUGAUGAAAGUGGACCAUUCCAGGAUGAUGUUGCCCCCAUCCAAAGUUCAUGAGGGCUCCCUGGAUGGCUUGCAGAGUAUGAAAAUCAUACGAAUCAUAUGCAGUUGCUUCCACAGACAUCAACUGACAAAACAUCAAAUGAGCAAAGAACUUUCGGAAGAACUGUGGCCCGUCCUUCCAGUGACUUUAGACUUUAGAUGUCAAGAACCUAAAAUUGUUCUGGCAGCACAUCGUGGUUUAACAAUCUAAAUUUUGUAUUUAACUUCAACCUGUCAUCUACCUGCAUUGCAUUCCACAAUAUAAGAUGCUGGAUUUUGCCAUAAGUUUAACCAGUAUGCAGUGCUCUAGUACAUGCAGUUGCUGCCUCUCUCACAAUAGAAUAGCCCUUCAUCAUCAACAAAACCUACAGAGCCUAAUUUCCUCAGUGGAUAAAACUCUAAUUGAUGCUUCAGUUUGUAAUAGAGUAAUGUAAGAAAUCUAUAGAUCCAGACUGAGUAAUCCACCCUCCCCUUUCGCGUGACUAUGUGAAGGUCACAGUCACAGUUUAACCCAUAUUUCCGUGUCACAUGCUGAUUGUUUGGAUGAUUGUGUGAUAGCGAAGCAUGCACCUAGCAUCUUUCUCGCUCACAUUUUAAUUUUAAUUUAUAACUUGUUAAACUAAAUUUUCCAUUUUCCAUGAAUUCUUUUGCAGUUUAGGAGAACGAUCAUCUUCGUGUCAAGCUCACCUGUAGAACAAUGAACACAUAUCCUGUUUCACUUGGACUGUCAUAGGUUUUUGUGUUUGUGUGGAGGGUUUUUUUUUGUUUUGUUUUUGAAUGUUUAUUGUGACUGAGCUUGCACUUGGUUCGGUUUCUGAGUUUUUUUGUUGUUGUUGUUUUUUUUUAAUAUCUAGAUACAUUUCCCGUUUAUUCUUAAUCUCUUGCUAGGAUCAAAUAACAUGUUAAUAUCCUUUGGCUUUUUCCGUUGUUUCAAAUUGGCUUCCUUAGCUUGCGGCAUAAUUUGGUUUACUCGCUCUCCCCCUCUCUCUCCCCUGUCCUCUCCUCUCCUUGACUGCAGCUUUUGACAUUACUCCUCUCGAUUGCCCGUUUACCCCCAAGUCAAGUUUGAGGUAGGCAUGAAGUGUAAAAGAGGUGGGCCAUGUCAUAUCCGCUCAGUGUGCAUGGGAUUGUCUGCUUCCACGGCUGUAAUUAUUGUUGUGGAGAACAAUUCAUGCACAGAGUGCCCGGGCAAGCAGGAAGGUAGCAUAUCAGAGAAAGAACAGUCUCAAAGUUGGAUCAUGAAGGUUUUUUUCUCGGCAGAAGUAGAAAUAUGGGUUGGUUUUAUGUGAGGCACAAUCGCAUUUAGAAGUUUACCUAUUUUGCUUGUAUAUUUGGAUAGAUUUGGCUUGCAUUAAAAUCAUUUAGCCUACUAUAGCGAUUACUUUGCUUUAAGGGAUUUUGUGAAAAUAAUCUAAGGGUACUCUCCCACUUGGACUCCACUUCAAGGAUAUUAAUAUUAAUGUGAAAUAACUACUUUAACAACACAGCUGCUUUGACAGCCCCAGGUGCAUAUUAAAGUUUAUUUGAAUGAAUUAAACGAAUAAAAAGUCUCAGAGAAACAGACUUGCCUUAUAUAAGUUCAUGAUGAGGCUACUAGACGACUCUUAAAUAUGAUUCCACUUGGAGAACAUAAAUAUUUAAUCCGAAGUAACUUAUAUUUAUGCAAAGUCUAGUAAGUACAGUCUGCAAUAUUUAUUUAUUGUUUGGCCACUCAGCCUUUGAAGAAGUUUAAUGGAAUACCCAGUGGACAAAACUGCAGCUACAUGGUGUUUUAAGUUACCUGCAUUCAUCCGAGUGUGCAGGGGGAAAGAAGAAGAAAAGAAGUUGCUGAACUAUUUACCUAAUUGUUCCCGAAAAUCUAUGUAGAUUUAUGUAGCUAAGAUUAGGCGUAGGUGUCGUGACUUUUGUUUUUACACAGUCUUAGGUGUGUGUUUAUCGAAUACGUCACCGUAGCAGCCAAUCAGAAACGGGGAACGGAACUAACCGUCCUAUAACUAGAUAUUAGUUUACAAGAUAAUAACGGAGGGAUGCUGCGACCGAUGAGCCGGUUACUCACGGGUGAACAGAGCCAGUCCAAUCUGAUUUGUGUAGGCUACCCAUCUCCAUUUGACUCCCAGGAUCAAUAGCUGAUGUCUGAGAGAAAGGGGGGGAGGGGGGAGAAAGGAAAGGAAAGGAAAAGAAAGGUGCAACAGGUUAAAUAGAAAAUGACCAUUAUUAGACACACAACUUCUAUCAUACCGUUAAUAUAUAAUCUCAUCAAUAUUUUAUUUUCUCAACUUUUCUUUUUUUUCUUUUUAGCCUGUCAUUAAAAUUAGUUUAACUUAUUAAUGCUCAAAUACAUUAUUAUUAUUAUUAUUAUUAUUAUUAUUAUUAUUAUUAUUAUUAUUAUUAUUAUUAUUAUUAUUAUUAUUAUUAUUAUUCCUACAAUCGAAUUAUUUCCUAUCUGAGUGUGUGGGGGGUAAAUUUUGCCUCCACACAAGGCUGAUUGGCUUUUGCAGUAUCAGUAGUUUGUAUCAGGUUAGUGGGCUGUGCACUCACCCAGUCCUUACUACUGAAACCAUAAUAUUUUCAUGCACUGGGCUCAAACACACGCUGCUGAAAUCAGUGGAGCCUGCAUAUGACCUGCAAUCUUUUCUGUGCAGCUUACUUGCGCAUAUACAAAAACCCUGAAGUGAUACCCAGGCCACAAAGCGACAGUCACCGCAAGUAUUGCAAUAGCACAUAAAUACUAACAUAAACCGAACAAAACAAACUUGACCUAUAUCCGCCUUCCUAUAUGGCGCAUUGAGAUAUUUCAGCGUUUUUGUUGUUGUUCAUUCAUUAUUCAGGUUUAGAUUAUUAUGGAUGGCAGAUGUCAGAGCGUGAUGGAGAUGUUUAUGUUUGACUGAUUUAAGAAGCCAUUAUCCCGCCCGCUUAUCAAACAUUCAUGUGUGGCAGCUGUAGUUGUGGAUCUGCCCUCCGUCGUGUCUCCUGUGGCCGCUUCAUUUCUCUUCUUAAGCAACCACGACCUUUCCACUCAGUUAACCUAUUAUCUUUAACAUUUAGAGGCAGCUUUACUCCAUCAGAAGAAGAAAUAAUCUAAAAGCAUUAGACACAGACUAUAUAUCAGAGAAAAAGAAAUAUAUGUGAAAAAAUAUACAUCUAACAGAAAAGAACGUAACCCUUUAUGGCACAGCCAUGUAGAAGAAAACACUAUAGGUUGAAAUUGCGAGCUCGACACAGUAGCGUAUCAGCUGGCCUUUCAGCAGAUAGGAUAAAGCUGUCUAAUGUCCAAUAGACUGUAAGUGUCGCAAAACACCCGGAAUAGCACAGGAACAGUAAGUAAAAAUGCGCAACAGAACGUCUUAAUAUUAUAUAGUCCAAAUUAGAUGAAUAUUAAAUUUACAAUUGCUUAAAGUUAUUGAUACUUUACCCACAAUUAGUCUUUACAGCUAAUGACAGAUUUGUAAACAUCCUAAUGAAACAGUCUGGCAGUAUGCAGAGCAAUUAAUUCUGACGGGAGUCAUCAAAGGCGUCACUAUUUUAUUGCUUUAAUGCGACUUUUAGUUGUUAAGCAAAAUAAGAUCCAAACGAGCUUUUUUCUUUGCAGAAAAUUCACUCAGCUAAGUUCACACUGAGGCACUAGUACAGCACGCUCAUAACGAGCCUUAACUUAGAUUGAUUGGAUUGGGAAAUAGUGACGCUUUUCUUUUUGAUAAAUUUCUUGUUAUGCAGCAAUAAUAUCGAGAUUAUAAUGAGGUUUGAGGCAGGCUAUUUGCGUUAUCAUACAAUUUAAAAUUAGACGUUAAGAAAAGAAAAGAAAAGAAAAGAAAAGAAAAGAAAAGAAAAGAAAAGAAAAGAAAAGAAAAGAAAAGAAAGGUUUUUCCAAAUUUCAGAACGGGUUGUUCUUGUUUUGUUUGUUUUUUACUCAAUGUUGAUUUUACCCAUUAAAUCCACCAUCAAAUGAGAUAUAAAAGAGAUUUAACUUUAAGUUUAAUAUUAGCCAAAAGUGAGAAAAAAUAUUUUUAAGAAAUCCUUUUGCUUCAGCCUAAUAUUUUCUCUCCCUGUCGGCUGAGGCUGCACAGACCAUCCAGCGUCCGCACUUUGUAAUUGCCCUGUGAACACGGUAGUUUUCAUUCUUUUGACCCUUCCAUGAACAGCACGCCGCCGCCCUCGCUUGCUCCCCUCCACCCCAUCCAAACAGACCCACACAAUGCUGCGUGUGCGUGCGCGCUCUGCGGUAUGUGGGCUAAAUGUCGUGCAGAGGUAAUGGGAAGUAGUCGGAUGGUAGGGUCGCGAGUUCACGGCGGGGUUAAAGAGACCCGUCCGUGGCUCCUGUUUGCUUUUUUUCCACAACUCCGCUUCCUUCCUACAGGAGGAUGUGUCCAGUGUGCCACCGUCCUCACCUCGCAACAACCCCGUCACUGCACAGACCGUGUUUGUUUUUCUGCGUUUAUUAAAUCUUCCCCCGGCAGGAAAACGACCAGUAUCACCACGUCACUGGGUGCUGGUGAGUUUAGCACUUUGCAUCCCUCCUCUGCUCCCUGAGAAUGCUUUUGUGUUUGGACUUGUGAAGUCUCGCGUCUAUUUAUAUCCUCACAUGCAGGCUGUCUGUUCAACACUUUCCCCCCUUCAGUUUAUCAUAUUUCUUCAAGGUUUUUUCAAGGUUUUUUUUGUUCCAGAAUCACAGCUGACACAUUUUAAAAUAAAAUCCAAAAAACAAAAAAAUAACUUUUAUUGUACACCAAGAAUCAGAUUAAUAAUACCUAACAAUAAAGGACAACUUCAGCUGUUUCACCCAAUAAAGAGGUUCCCAUGCACUUUUUGUACUUUAUUUAAAAACAUUUGAUCAUUAAUAAAUUUUGUCAUCAAAAAAGACAGCGACCUCCCUCAUAAUGAACAAAACAGUCUCCCACCUACGCCCCUUAUCAAGUUUUUUUUUUUUGAUGAAUCCGGAGCAUAAACCAUAUUUAAGCAGCACGACAAUGAUGUAAGUUGUUAAAAGAGAAAAAAAAGAGCAGAGAUUAUUAUUAUCUCAUUAAGGAUAACUGCCUGCAGGUCCGCUGGGUUAUCCGCCAUUUUAAUUGCCGCUGCAUCAUUAUUCAGGCCUUUAACCAUUUUAUAGGGUUUUCCUCUAAUGAAAUGAGGAUGUGUGCAUUAUGGAAAUUGCAUCUCUAUAUGAUGUAGAUUAUUCUCUUGAGAAACCACGUAAAAUAUUAAUCAUUGAAGCCGUAUAUGAUAACAUUUCCUCCUCUAUUGUAUUUGCCAUUCUAGCUCUCUAUUCUUGUGUGUCUUCUGUCUCUGCAGGUGGCAGGUAGGUGCUAUUUCAGUUUACUUUACAGCUUCUUUUUUCUAGUUUGUGAAGUUUAACAAGGGGAUCUGAAUUGAAAGUAGUUUUUUAUACAAGACAAGGAAAAUAUUUAGUGUCCAUAUUGAAAAAGUUUUUUCUUUUGCAGUUAGUUUUCUAUUACAGCUUUGUUAAUAAAACAACAAUAACAACGUGUUUUAAAACCAGUUUGGUGUCACAUUUGCUUUAAAUAAUUGAUUUAUACAUGGUUUGGAAAACUAGCAGGGUACAAAAAAGACAUGUACACAUGGAAAAUACUAUCACAUGAUCAACAAUAUUUUUACUAUGUAAAGAAAUGGAAACUAACAUUGUCCCUUUAUAAUAGAAUACAUUAGUUGAAUGUAGAGUAAAUCAAAUUUACUGUAACACAUUAAAAGACAUUAAUACAACAUUUAUAAUUACUCUUUACAAACCAAAAUAAAGGUAGUUUUAUCCUUCUGUUCAUAUACUAAGAAUUUUCAGCUGCACAUAUUGCUAAAUAAAACCCAUGUAGUCAAUAAUUUCACAUAGAGGAUAACCCGUGAGAUUAAAUAUGUAAAACCAUACAUUAACAAAGAGAACAGCUACAUAUAGAUGAAUCUAAAAAGCAAAAUAAAUAAACAAAUGCAUAAAACUGCUCAUAUACCCUUUUUUAGGGGAAGAAAAGAUGGUGGGAUAAAAAGAUGGACAACAAAGGGGUUAAUAGAGAAAUGGGAUAAAAGAGAAAAUACUUAAGAAAUAGAGAGACUGUAAGAAGAGAAAGAGCUGAGAAGUCAUAUAUCCUCAAAGCAGGGGAUUGAGAUUCAUCUGACAGAAACAAGACAAAAACAGAAGGAGAGACCAACAGAGGUACAGUGGGGUUUUGCAUUGGCAUGGAGAGGGUCUGUUUUGUUGUUACCUUCCCUCUGUUUUUCUCUUUCUCUGUGUCUCUCAUCCUCUCUCUUUCGCUUUGUGUUCAUAUAGAGACAUCUAUACUGGAGACAGGAGAGUGAGAGAGAGAGAGAGAAUUUGGUCGUCUGCCUAUCUCCUCCUCACCAUGGCGCCCCUGAGACCAAGCAAGCAAGGAGAGUACACAUACACACACACUUUUACCCGCCGCUGAGGAGAACAGCUUGGCUCUGUGUUACACUGAAAACCCCACUUUCCCUCAGUCAGACAGACAGGUAGACAGCUGGGUGUUACACUAAAUCCUCUCCCCCAUGUGUUCCUCCUAACACUGGCUCUGCUCUUUCUGUCACUUCUCUGUGUCUGCUCCUUUCUUUAUCUCAUAGCUCGUGCUUUAAAGCAGAAGAAAAGAGUCAGCCCUGGAAUAAAAUAAAACUAUGAUAUGAUUGUAAAAUGUAGAGUAGUUUAUGAAUAGUUUAGAGGAGAUGUCAGGUUUUAAAAUUAAAGGAUUAGUCAAUGGAAACAGCCAUUUAUGAUGCACUGAAAAUAAAACAUAGUGUCUCCCACAGAAGUGUUAUCUGUCCCUUCUCUUGUCUCUCUCUCUCUACCCUGACCCCAAGUUCGCUUCUUCUAAGCACCACUUCACCCUAAGCCUACAUUUUGUGUGUGUGUGUGUGUGUGUGUGUGUGUGUGUGUGUGUGUGUGUGUGUGUGUGUGUGUGUGUGUGUGUGCUGAGAGCUUUUUGAUUUCUUGUGUAUGUGUGUGACAGAGAAAGGGAGAUGAGAGAGGAUGAUGGUCAGGCUUGGCCUACUGACUCAUCCACAGAGAGAACUGUGUUAAUACAGGAAUGAAGCCAUCACACACUUGCACACACACCCCCACACACACAUAGACAGCCUCUUCCCAUCAGUCUUUUGUUGCACUUGCCAGUGAUGAUGAUCUCACCACAUAGCAGGACUGAGCCUCAAUAGUCAUCGAGUUUGUCAGUAUGGCAGACAGACAGGCAGCCAGUCAAUAUGGCCAUCAGUCAUGCAGCCAGGCAGUCAGUCAGUAAGCAACAGCUAAUUAUCAAAAUUGUAAGUUAUUCAGGCACUUAGGUGGGGAGUUAGAUAUCAGAUAAUGUAGAUAAUGUAAUCUCAGCCAGCUGACUGUAUUUGGUGUCAUUACGUCAGCCUUAAAAUUUGCUUUCUCUUUAGAAGAAAACUGACAUCAUACAUAACAGAAAGACAGAAGAAAGAGGCACAAACUCAUCUCUGUCAUCAAACUCUGUGUUUGAAUUUCCUGCCCAAGACUCAGAUUGAAAUCCUAAUAAGCAUGCCAGGUCAACAAAAAAGUCCUGAAAACUGGGAGAACUGGAGCAUUCAAGUUCAGGCAAGAUCUUUAAAGAAUCUAUCCCCACUUUCAUUUCCAUCAGGAUCAACUGUAGGAGACCGUUUAUAACGUCUCCCCUCCAAACAGACUUUGAGGCUGCAGAUGAUUUGAUUGUUCUAACAAAGAAGAAGAAAACAGAACUUGUAAAAUUAACAAUGGCACUGUAUCUCUGAAAAUCCCCACAUGGUAAUAGACCCAAAACGGGUUUUUUUGGUGUAGGUCUUACUGUAUUUGCACUCUUUAGCUCUCAUGUCAUGCGAUAGUAGUGUGUUAACUGUUCCUACAAAACAUGCAGAUGCAGCAUUUAGUUGCACUGCAUACAACUAACAUGCAUUUCCAACCGACUGAUGUUCAUUCACCAAACAAACACUUUAUAAUUUGCUUCAUUGCAAACACUUAAUUUUCUAUGUAAAAUGUAUUAAAAUGUAUUGCAUUGCAUUUUGUAUUUAGCUGUUUUAUGGGUUAUGUAACUUGCCUUUGUAUAAGACAUGUCCCAUAUGAAUAAACAUCAUUUGUAUUCUUUGCUUUCAUUGUAUUCAAAUCUGAGCUUUGUUAUGUUUCUUUAGUUAAAAAUAAAAAUAUAUUAUAAAA